This 425-nucleotide ribosomal RNA is filed under the name uncultured bacterium. Its description in RNAcentral is "bacterial SSU rRNA". It matches the Rfam family "Bacterial small subunit ribosomal RNA", at positions 355 to 775 of the family's 1533-position model. The record is from RNAcentral.
UCGAGAAUCUUCGGCAAUGGGGGAAACCCUGACCGAGCGACGCCGCGUGCGAGAUGAAGGCCUUCGGGUUGUAAAUCGCUGUCGUAGAGGAGGAAAUGUAGGUGGGUUCUCCCAUCUAUUUGACCUAUUCUAGGAGGAAGGACGGGCUAAGUUCGUGCCAGCAGCCGCGGUAAUACGGACCGUCCAAACGUUAUUCGGAAUUACUGGGCUUAAAGGGUGCGUAGGCGGUCCGGGAAGUUGGGUGUGAAAUGCCUCGGCUCAACCGAGGAACUGCGCCCAAAACUGCCGGGCUCGAGGGAGACAUAGGUGUGCGGAACUUAGGGUGGAGCGGUGAAAUGCGUUGAGAUCCUAGGGAACACCAGUAGCGAAAGCGGCACACUGGGUCUUUUCUGACGCUGAUGCACGAAAGCCAGGGGAGCGAAGAG